Molecule: ribosomal RNA, 263 nt
Filed under: uncultured bacterium
Lineage: Bacteria
Description: partial 16S ribosomal RNA
Rfam family: Bacterial small subunit ribosomal RNA
Source: RNAcentral
UACGAAGGGGGCUAGCGUUGCUCGGAAUCACUGGGCGUAAAGCGCACGUAGGCGGCUUUCUAAGUCAGGGGUGAAAUCCUGGAGCUCAACUCCAGAACUGCCUUUGAUACUGGAGUGCUUGAGUCCGGGAGAGGUGAGUGGAACUCCGAGUGUAGAGGUGAAAUUCGUAGAUAUUCGGAAGAACACCAGUGGCGAAGGCGGCUCACUGGCCCGGUACUGACGCUGAGGUGCGAAAGCGUGGGGAGCAAACAGGAUUAAGAAAC